Molecule: ribosomal RNA, 484 nt
Filed under: uncultured bacterium
Lineage: Bacteria
Description: bacterial SSU rRNA
Rfam family: Bacterial small subunit ribosomal RNA
Source: RNAcentral
AUUGAACGCUGGCGGCAUGCCUUACACAUGCAAGUCGAACGGUAACAGGUCUUCGGAUGCUGACGAGUGGCGAACGGGUGAGUAAUACAUCGGAACGUGCCCGAUCGUGGGGGAUAACGCAGCGAAAGCUGUGCUAAUACCGCAUACGAUCUACGGAUGAAAGCGGGGGAUCGCAAGACCUCGCGCGGACGGAGCGGCCGAUGGCAGAUUAGGUAGUUGGUGGGAUAAAAGCUUACCAAGCCGACGAUCUGUAGCUGGUCUGAGAGGACGACCAGCCACACUGGGACUGAGACACGGCCCAGACUCCUACGGGAGGCAGCAGUGGGGAAUUUUGGACAAUGGGGGAAACCCUGAUCCAGCCAUGCCGCGUGCAGGAUGAAGGCCUCGGUUGUAAGCUCUUCGUCCGGACGAAUACGUAUGGUUAAUACCUCGUGCGGAUGACGGUACCGGCAUAGAAGCACCGCUACUACGUGCCAGCAGCCGC